ACGCUGGGCGGCGCGUCUUAAACAUGCAAGUCGAACGAUCUGUAGCAAUACAGGGAGUGGCGGACGGUGAGGAACACGUAGGAAUCUACCUUGAAGAGCGGGACAACUUUGGGAAACCGGGGCUAAUACCGCAUAGUACAGAGAUGUUAAAGGGCUAGCAAUAGUCGCUUCGAGAUGAGCCUGCGGUCUAUCAGCUUGUUGGUGAGGUAAUGGCUCACCAAGGCUACGACGGAUAGCCGGUCUGAGAGGAUGAUCGGCCACACUGGCACUGAGACACGGGCCAGACUCCUACGGGAGGCAGCAGUUAAGAAUCUUGCGCAAUGGGGGAAACCCUGACGCAGCGACGCCGCGUGAAGGAUGAAGGCUUUCGGGUUGUAAACUUCGGUAGACUGGGAAGAAGAAAUACGUUCGUUGAGGGCGUAUAGUGACGGUACCAGUCUGAAGCCCCGGCUAAUUACGUG
This 461-nucleotide ribosomal RNA is filed under the name uncultured bacterium. RNAcentral's name for it is "bacterial SSU rRNA". It matches the Rfam family "Bacterial small subunit ribosomal RNA", at positions 38 to 507 of the family's 1533-position model. The record is from RNAcentral.